UACGGAGGAUCCAAGCGUUAUCCGGAUUUAUUGGGUUUAAAGGGUGCGUAGGCGGAUUGAUAAGUUAGAGGUGAAAUGUCCGAGCUUAACUCGGGAACUGCCUCUAAUACUGUUGAUCUAGAGGGUAGAUGCGGUAGGCGGAAUGUAUGGUGUAGCGGUGAAAUGCUUAGAGAUCAUACAGAACACCGAUUGCGAAGGCAGCUUACCAAUCUAUAUCUGACGUUGAGGCACGAAAGCGUGGGGAGCAAACAGG
This 253-nucleotide ribosomal RNA is filed under the name uncultured bacterium. Its description in RNAcentral is "partial 16S ribosomal RNA". It matches the Rfam family "Bacterial small subunit ribosomal RNA", at positions 524 to 776 of the family's 1533-position model. The record is from RNAcentral.